This 253-nucleotide ribosomal RNA is filed under the name uncultured bacterium. Its description in RNAcentral is "partial 16S ribosomal RNA". It matches the Rfam family "Bacterial small subunit ribosomal RNA", at positions 524 to 776 of the family's 1533-position model. The record is from RNAcentral.
UACGAAGGGGGCUAGCGUUGUUCGGAAUCACUGGGCGUAAAGCGCACGUAGGCGGAUGUGCCAGUCAGGGGUGAAAUCCCGGAGCUCAACCCCGGAACUGCCUCUGAUACAGCACGUCUUGAGUUCGAGAGAGGUGGGUGGAAUUCCUAGUGUAGAGGUGAAAUUCGUAGAUAUUAGGAAGAACACCGGUGGCGAAGGCGGCCCACUGGCUCGAUACUGACGCUGAGGUGCGAAAGCGUGGGGAGCAAACAGG